UUUAAGAUAUGAAUAUAUGGAAUUCAUUUAUUUAAUAAGUAAGAUCCAAUAUACAUUUUGUGUUUCGGAUCUGUGGAUGCAAUUGCAAAUUCUUGAAGUGACAAAGAUUAUAUUUAUAUCUGUGGCCACACUGUUUAUUGAAGAUAAAAGUUCCAUAGAGUAACAUUCUUUUUUCCUUUCUGUCAUUAGUUUUUAUCUACUGAAAAGGGUUAACUCUAAGUUUUCUCUCUACCCAUGAAGGAGACAGGACAGGACUCAUCUCAUAUUCCAUCAACCUAGCCUUGGAUUCGCUCUGAUCUGUAUAAUCCAUGCACAUUUUCUCUUCAGGCAAAACCUUAACCCUCCAUAUUUUGAAGGAGUGGUCCAAACUUGCACUAUAUACCAAAAACCCCAUCACAACUUUCUCCAAUUCCAUACAAGCAGCCAGACAUCUCACUGGCCCUCUAUGCCCAUCUAACACUGCUAAACAUUCAUGGAAAUAGCUUCCUUCUUCUCUCCUCCAUACCCUGAUUGUCGUAUCCUCUGAUCCGCUAAAUAUCAACUUCUCCACAGCCACUAGGCAAAGAACUGAAAAACGAUGCCCUUGCAAGAAUCCACCAUGGUUAAACCUGCCAGAAAAUUUCUCCUUCUCCCAAAAGUUUAUGGUACCAUCUGAGGACCCUGAAUAGAGAAAGCAAUUGCUGAAGGUGGAGCUUAAGGCCAAUGCAUUGACUGGAGAUUGCUGGAAUUUUAGUGUCAUAGUGAGAGUGUGAGAAUUUUCUCUAUACACUCUCCUCCAUAUUUUAACUGACCCAUCUAAUGAGCAAGUAAAGACACACCCAUCAUCUUGAUUCACCACUAUAGCAUUUACAUUAUCUUCAUGAGCUACAAAUGAGUCUACACAUUUUUUAUCUGAAACUUUCCAAACUUUAACUGUUCUGUCAUAUGAACCAGUGUACAGGAGCCCUUCUGCGUGGUAAUAAGCCAUGCAAGAAACACAAUCCCUAUGUUUUUGUGCGUUUGAUCUAGAGAAUAAACGAAAUGAACUUCUUUUAGGUAAUUUGGAGACCUUUCUUAUUCGAUAACACUCUGAAACUGUGAAGUUCCAAAUUCGAAUUUUAUGAUCUUUAUGGGCAGAGAAUAGUAUGUUACCAUGAGCUAAAAUGGCUCGAACUUCUCCGGAACUCGCUUUGAGAUAGCCCCGUUCGAUGCAAUCGGGCAGCCUCCAUGCACGUAUACGCUUACUUUCAGAGCCAGUGAAGACUACUCCUUUUGAAACAGCAAUGGAGAAGAUGUUCCCUUCGUUGCGAUGAAUCGAGGCUAUGCAAUGGUAGAGAAGAGAAGGUGAUGGGGUGUGCAGAGGAGAGAGCGUCCACGGUGAUUCUGGGCUAGCUGGCGGGAUUAAGUUAAGCUUAUUGGUGGAGCGGGUAGUAGAAUGCCUUGGAGGGCUGAACUGGACAUGAUCUUGGUCGUUCAUUUCUUGAAAAGUUCUAAUGGAAGGGAGGGUAAUUUUAGGUGGUUGCAUUGCAUUUCCCUCUUCAGACAUGAAGCUAGACAGAGUUCUCUUUCCAUAGAAUUCCAUUGCAUCAGUGCCGCGGGAGGCAAUGGGUUAUGUGGGAAAUAGCUAUAAACAUAUAAAGAUUGGAUGGAAAUGGAGUAUUUAUGUACUCAGUGAUGUGAGCCGAACUAACCACCCACUGCUAAUUAUUGUAUGCACCCG
RNAcentral lists this unclassified non-coding RNA (1699 nucleotides) under Hevea brasiliensis (rubber tree). The record is from RNAcentral. Lineage: Eukaryota; Viridiplantae; Streptophyta; Magnoliopsida; Malpighiales; Euphorbiaceae.